UAACCAUGCAUAGUAAACAACUCAACUUUAUUCGCAUUUUUUGUGACGUUUAUUGCUGUUGCGCGUUAUUUUGUGACCCUAUUAUUGUGUGAUGAUAUAAUUGGAAUAUUGUAACAAAAAAACUCUUCAUUUAUUAAGUUUAUAUUACUAAUGUGAUAGUUCUAAACGAUAGCUGUUUGCUAAAGUAAUAUCUCAUCAAAAUUACUUAUUUUUUACUGGAUAUCCAGAAACAAAUCAAGCAAGUCAGGGUAGAGUAAAGAGUCAAGCUCAAAAUGUAAUUCCAAGGUUUCAAGUUCAAUGCUAUAUUUUCCCUGUUAUAAAGGUUGUGUAAAGAGAAGCCAGAUAAAGUAUACAAGGUUUUGCAAAUUUCAAGUGUGCCCACAAGGCUCACCAAGUGUACAGUUAAGAAAUUAAGUCCAAUUUGCAAGGUAAAGUCAAGUUGAAACAAAAGAAUUCAAGCAUAUAAAAGGUAGCAUUCAAGACCUUAUUUUGUAAAGAAUCAGAUAUGUAGUUGGCUUGUAAAGAACCGAAAAAGUAUUACAAGUUUUCAAGUAAAGUAACAAGUCGUCAAAGGAUACUCAAAUUUGCAAGCUACAAAACUUGCUUUGGAAAAAUAAAGUACAGAAAAGUUAAAGAGUCCGCAAGGUAAAGUCAAGUUGAAACAAAAGAGUUCAAGUAAAUAAAAGUUAAUCAAGUUCUUAUAUCUAAACGGAUCUCGGAUACGUUUUGGGCUUGUAAAGAUCACAAGUAAUCAAGUAAAGUUACAAGUCUCCUCAAAAGACAAGUUUCGUUUAAAGAUACAAAGGUCUAACAUAUUUGCAGCUAAGAACACAAGCGGUAUAGCAAGUAGUCAAGUCUCCAUAAAAAGAUCAAAUGGCAGGCCAUGAUGUUCGUUUCGGAAAAAGUACAGAAAAUUAAGAGGUAAAUGGGAAACAGUUUUAUUAAAAUCUUAAAUUAAGAAAUUAAGCAUAAAUUUGAUAGCUUACUGCUUAUAAAUUUGUUAGAUAAAAUUUGAUAAAUACUGAAAUUUUUUAACUUAUGUUGCACUUAAAAUAAAGAGAAAUAAUAGAUACUA
Molecule: long non-coding RNA, 1075 nt
Organism: Parasteatoda tepidariorum (common house spider)
Lineage: Eukaryota; Metazoa; Arthropoda; Arachnida; Araneae; Theridiidae
Source: RefSeq, a predicted model, not a curated record